Merluccius polli (Benguela hake) is the source of this 73-nucleotide non-coding RNA. NCBI's taxonomy places the organism in Eukaryota, Metazoa, Chordata, Actinopteri, Gadiformes, Merlucciidae. The record is from the annotation of a GenBank genome assembly.
GAUGGUUCAGUGUAGAAUUCUCGCCGUGCCACCCACGCGGGAGAUGGCCCCGGGUUCGAUUCCCGGCCAUGCA